Molecule: ribosomal RNA, 569 nt
Filed under: uncultured bacterium
Lineage: Bacteria
Description: partial 16S ribosomal RNA
Rfam family: Bacterial small subunit ribosomal RNA
Source: RNAcentral
UGGGGAAUAUUGGACAAUGGGCGCAAGCCUGAUCCGGCCAUGCCGCGUGAGUGAAGAAGGCCUUCGGGUUGUAAAGCUCUUUUGUCCGGAAAGAAAUCCUGUCGGCUAAUACCCGGCGGGGAUGACGGUACCGGAAGAAUAAGCACCGGCUAACUUCGUGCCAGCAGCCGCGGUAAUACGAAGGGUGCAAGCGUUACUCGGAAUUACUGGGCGUAAAGCGUGCGUAGGUGGUUCGUUAAGUCUGAUGUGAAAGCCCUGGGCUCAACCUGGGAACUGCAUUGGAUACUGGCGAUCUGGAGUGCGGUAGAGGGUAGCGGAAUUCCCGGUGUAGCAGUGAAAUGCGUAGAUACCGGGAGGAACAUCCGUGGCGAGGGCGGCUACCUGGACCAGCACUGACACUGAGGCACGAAAAGCGUGGGGAGCAAACAGGAUUAGAUACCCUGGUAGUCCACGCCCUAAACGAUGCGAACUGGAUGUUGGGUGCAACUUGGCACUCAGUAUCGAAGCUAACGCGUUAAGUUCGCCGCCUGGGAAGUACGGUCGCAAGACUGAAACUCAAAUGAAUUGAC